Molecule: ribosomal RNA, 139 nt
Filed under: Capsicum annuum
Lineage: Eukaryota; Viridiplantae; Streptophyta; Magnoliopsida; Solanales; Solanaceae
Description: 5.8S ribosomal RNA
Rfam family: 5.8S ribosomal RNA
About the family: 5.8S ribosomal RNA (5.8S rRNA) is a component of the large subunit of the eukaryotic ribosome.
Source: Rfam by way of RNAcentral
GACUCUUAGCAAUAAAUAUCUCAGCUCUCACGUCAAUGAAUAAUAUAGUAAAACGCGAUAACUUAUGUAAAUUACAAAUUUUCCUAAACAUCAAGUUUUUAAAUGCAAGUCGCAAGUUGCAUCUGAAGUUUUUAGGUCG